AAGGUAAGUUUUGACAUUGAAUGCAUACUUUAUUAAGAAUAAAAUCCUUUCCGUUUUGUAUGCAGUGCAGAACGUUUCACUAAAAAAUGAAACUCGUCUUCAACCUGCAUAUUUUUACACUACCCGUAAAAUCUUUUAUCUAUAUCGAAUUUUUUAUAUCGACCUUUUUCAAGAGGUAACUGAUGAGCACUGAUUCAAAUAAGGUUAACCUUUUUCCAUUCUGAAAUUUAUCAACUUGGCAUACAUAUGCCUCCCUUUUGAAAAUGUUUUUAAAUUUAUAAUAUGAAGCAAUUUUCCUCCAGAUCCCUAAACGACUUGUUGCAAGGGUUCUAAAUACUCAGAGAGCGUAGUACUCUCUUUACACGAGUCUUUCAUGUGACUGCGAACUUAUACAUGCUGCACAUACAAACGAACUCCAAACUGUGACGAGGGUUUUUCUGUUGGUCGAAAAAAAUACCAUAGUGAACAUAUUCCAUUCCUUAUUAAUUUCUUUUGAGUGUACGGAAUCAUUGAAAAGCAAAGUAUUGAAGUAUAUCACCGUAAUGGAAACCUUACUAUAAAGCUAUGAUGGGAUGGAUGUCUUUUCGUGUAAUAGGUUAAAAAUUGCAUGUGCUCUAUUCAUGGCAGUUCAUGAUUUUUAUACAUUUAUAUAUACUUUUAACUUUCAAAAUACCAUGAAUAUUUUUCAUAUGUAAAGAACAUAAUUAAAAAUCUUUUAACAUACAGAAAACAAAAUAACAAAUUUUAAAAUCACAAGGUCGACUUUAAAACAAACAUUUAAUCAUCUAUUCCAAAAAAUUCUCCAUGUCUUUAAACACUCCAUGUAUUAAAAAUACUAUAUACAGAUUGUAAGGAUUUCAAGUUUAAGGAGCAACCAAGCACACACCGCAUGCUAUGUUGUUUAAUAUAUCUGCGAAUAAUACGAUUUAAUUUACAUUACUAUUAUACAAUAUUUCUAUCACAUUGUUACAAGACCACUCUAGGUCUGAGAUAGUAUAAUCCGGAAUCAUUUUGGAGGACUUUCACAGUUUAAGGAUAUAAACGCGGCUAUUUACACGAAAACAAAGAAAUGUAAUUCAUUCAUUUUGUUAAGAGUUUAUUUCUAUUUUUAUCAAUUUCGAUCAUCAUCUUUUACAAAAAUGAAAAUGAUCUAUUUUUUUUUUUAAUCUUGUUUAAUGAGAAUGACUUAUUUCCUCUGAAUUCACUUUUGCGGGGCCAUUAUCAAUGUUUUACUGCAAAACCACAAAGUAAAAAAAAAUCGAUGAAAAUUCAAAACGGAAAGUCCCUAUUCAAAUUGCAAAAUUAACACAUCAAACGAUCAUCACCAUAUCUGAAACAUGAAAAUCUGAAAAUUUGGACACUAGGAAUAUUUUUGUUUUUGAUUACUUAUGAAAUAAGCAACAGCUUGUUAUAAAAAUGUUCAUGUAAUAAUCAUGUUUAAACAAUACACGAGUUUAUGCUCAAUUCGUAUAUUUUAAUAAGGUUGAAAAUCCAGUAUAUUCGUUUUAAAUUUAAUAAAUGUGCUUACCUGUUUGCAAGAGCCGUUAAACACUAAUAAUUUUUUAGUAGUGAUCAGCAAAAAAAAAGUUUAAUGGCGCCGGGGCCUGAUUGUGAUUUAAAAAAAUUAACCAGAAACCGAACUGGUAACACAACACGAAAUCGAAACACCAUGAUGGUGUUGUAAAAAUCAUUAACUACAUGUAGUUCAAGUGACUACGAUGAACGUCUUCAAAAACGUAUGAAAGUAGGAAGUAAUGAUUCAAAUACAAACAGCAUAGAUAUUUGAAAAAAAUAAAUGAAUGUUUUAGGUGGC
This 1813-nucleotide long non-coding RNA is filed under the name Mytilus galloprovincialis (Mediterranean mussel). Lineage: Eukaryota; Metazoa; Mollusca; Bivalvia; Mytilida; Mytilidae. The record is from RNAcentral.